This is a non-coding RNA of Mycena metata, 91 nucleotides long. The record is from the annotation of a GenBank genome assembly. NCBI's taxonomy places the organism in Eukaryota, Fungi, Basidiomycota, Agaricomycetes, Agaricales, Mycenaceae.
GCCUUUGUGGAUCAGUGUAGAUCGCCUCGAGAUUGUUACAGAGUUCGUUGUGAUGGACCAGGAGAUGUGGGUUCGAGUCCUACCAGAGGCA